Molecule: long non-coding RNA, 718 nt
Organism: Galeopterus variegatus (Sunda flying lemur)
Lineage: Eukaryota; Metazoa; Chordata; Mammalia; Dermoptera; Cynocephalidae
Exons: 2
Source: RefSeq, a predicted model, not a curated record
AGGCUUUGUGAUGAGGAGCCACAUCUGGUACCACAUUGGACUGAACAUGGCUAAGGAGGUGUUUUGGCACCUGAACACUUGUGUCAGCAGCCAGCUGCAGAGUACGGUGCUCCCUGUGUGGGCAAGGAACUGCCAGAGGAAUUCAUGUUCCAAGUGUCCUGGAAGCGUGGUGCCCAGUCCAGUGUGGGCCAUCAUGAAGGGGGUAACAGGGAAACUGGGUAGUGUCUCUAGGGUGGAGCAGCUUAGGAGAAGCCUCCAAAUCCCUGUCUUUCCGUAACUGGAAACCUAAACUCAUUGGCAGGUGACCUACCCUUUCAGCGGCAUCCAUGCUAGCUGCAGGGGGAGGGCUCUAACAAAACAUGCAUAUUCUGCAAAUUAGAACUGCAUCAUUAUUUUGAAAUACUUGAUAUAAAAUGUUUGAUUGUAUUCACAAUCUAUUCACAUUAUCACAAGAAAUUUCAACAUUACAUUUGUCAAAGAAAGAAAAGAAAGCGCUGUUAGAUUUUUUAAAUAUAAUUUCAAGUGUUAUACAUGUUUGAAUAGUUACAAAAUGGUCUCACACUCUUAAUUAUGUACUUGUGUGAACAGAAGUUUCCUGUCGAUAGUGACUUUCAAGGAUUUGAAGAAACCAUCAUUAAAAAGCCUUGAUUGAGAAUUGUGUAUGCCCAUUUCAUGCAUACAGCCUGAUAUAAAUAAAAAAUUGUGUUCACGGAAGAAA